This 256-nucleotide ribosomal RNA is filed under the name uncultured bacterium. RNAcentral's name for it is "partial 16S ribosomal RNA". It matches the Rfam family "Bacterial small subunit ribosomal RNA", at positions 523 to 777 of the family's 1533-position model. The record is from RNAcentral.
UAGCGAAGGGUGCAAGCGUUACUCGGGAAUUACUGGGCGUAAAGCGUGCGUAGGUGGUUUGUUAAGUCUGUUGUGAAGCUCCAGGCUCAACCUGGAAAGUGCGCGCGAAACUGGCGAGCUUGAGUGCCGGAGAGGGGUCGCGGAACUCCGAGUGUAGAGGUGAAAUUCGUAGAUAUUCGGAAGAACACCAGUGGCGAAGGCGACUCACUGGCCCGAUACUGACGCUGAGGCGCGAAAGCGUGGGGAGCAAAGCAGG